CCCUUAGAUGUUCUGGGCUGCACGCGCGCUACACUGAUGCACUCAACGAGUUUACGACCUUGUCCGAGAGGAUUGGGUAAUCUUUUUAAAAUGCAUCGUGAUGGGGAUAGAUUAUUGCAAUUAUUAAUCUUCAACGAGGAAUGCCUAGUAAGCGCAAGUCAUCAGCUUGCGUUGAUUACGUCCCUGCCCUUUGUACACACCGCCCGUCGCUCCUACCGAUUGAAUGGUCCGGUGAAGCGUUCGGACCGUGGCCUUUGGACGGUUCGCCGUCUGUUGGCUGCGGGAAGUUCGUUAAACCUUAUCAUUUAGAGGAAGGAGAAGUCGUAACA
RNAcentral lists this ribosomal RNA (329 nucleotides) under uncultured eukaryote. Its description in RNAcentral is "partial 18S ribosomal RNA". It matches the Rfam family "Eukaryotic small subunit ribosomal RNA", at positions 1470 to 1796 of the family's 1831-position model. The record is from RNAcentral.